RNAcentral lists this ribosomal RNA (253 nucleotides) under uncultured bacterium. Its description in RNAcentral is "partial 16S ribosomal RNA". It matches the Rfam family "Bacterial small subunit ribosomal RNA", at positions 524 to 776 of the family's 1533-position model. The record is from RNAcentral.
UACAGAGGUCUCAAGCGUUGUUCGGAUUCAUUGGGCGUAAAGGGUGCGUAGGUGGCGCCGUAAGUCAGGUGUGAAAUUUCGGAGCUUAACUCCGAAACUGCAUUUGAUACUGCGGUGCUUGAGGACUGGAGAGGAGACUGGAAUUUACGGUGUAGCAGUGAAAUGCGUAGAGAUCGUAAGGAAGACCAGUGGCGAAGGCGGGUCUCUGGACAGUUACUGACACUGAGGCACGAAGGCCAGGGGAGCAAACGGG